AUUGAACGCUGGCGGCAGGCCUAACACAUGCAAGUCGAGCGGAUGAAGGGGGCUUGCUCCUGGAUUCAGCGGCGGACGGGUGAGUAAUGCCUAGGAAUCUGCCUGGUAGUGGGGGAUAACGUCCGGAAACGGGCGCUAAUACCGCAUACGUCCUGAGGGAGAAAGUGGGGGAUCUUCGGACCUCACGCUAUCAGAUGAGCCUAGGUCGGAUUAGCUAGUUGGUGGGGUAAAGGCCUACCAAGGCGACGAUCCGUAACUGGUCUGAGAGGAUGAUCAGUCACACUGGAACUGAGACACGGUCCAGACUCCUACGAGAGGCAGCAGUGGGGAAUAUUGGACAAUGGGCGAAAGCCUGAUCCAGCCAUGCCGCGUGUGUGAAGAAGGUCUUCGGAUUGUAAAGCACUUUAAGUUGGGAGGAAGGGCAGUAAGUUAAUACCUUGCUGUUUUGACGUUACCAACAGAAUAAGCACCGGCUAACUUCGUG
Molecule: ribosomal RNA, 484 nt
Filed under: uncultured bacterium
Lineage: Bacteria
Description: partial 16S ribosomal RNA
Rfam family: Bacterial small subunit ribosomal RNA
Source: RNAcentral